GGCAAAUGCCAUACAGUGCCUUUAAAUUUUUAUUUUCCUCCCUCUUCCCUCCCCUCACCCCAGUUGGCAUCUGUUUUUUCCUGUGCAAGCCAACUGGUGUUUCUUACUUUUGGGAGUUGAAUGUUGGGCUUCAUUUAACCAGUCGCAUUUCAGACAUUUUUACGCAGUUUUUUUACUAAUUUGUACACGAACGGUUUUAAGUCAUGACAUGAAAAUUUUGAACAGAAUUCUACCAGGUGGCUGUUUAUGAGAAAUCCCCCUUUUAGUUUUCCUUUUUCUCAUACAUUUUUUCUUUCCCCAAAAUUUUUUUUAAAACAUU
This is a long non-coding RNA of Melanotaenia boesemani (Boeseman's rainbowfish), 319 nucleotides long. RefSeq lists it as uncharacterized. The transcript is spliced from 4 exons. The record is from RefSeq and is a predicted model, not a curated record. Lineage: Eukaryota; Metazoa; Chordata; Actinopteri; Atheriniformes; Melanotaeniidae.